CCUUUGGUAGCUCAGCUGGUAGAGCGGAGGACUGCAGCAGUAAUUAAGCUUCCGUUAUCCUUGGAUCGCUGGUUCGAUUCCG
Molecule: transfer RNA, 82 nt
Filed under: Cervus elaphus hippelaphus
Lineage: Eukaryota; Metazoa; Chordata; Mammalia; Artiodactyla; Cervidae
Description: tRNA-Tyr
Rfam family: tRNA
About the family: Transfer RNA (tRNA) molecules are approximately 80 nucleotides in length. Their secondary structure includes four short double-helical elements and three loops (D, anti-codon, and T loops).
Source: RNAcentral